CAGGCCUAACACAUGCAAGUCGAGCGGGCAUCCUUGUGGUGUCAGCGGCGGACGGGUGAGUAACGCGUGGGAACGUGCCUUCUGGUUCGGAAUAACUCAGGGAAACUUGAGCUAAUACCGGAUACGCCCUUUUUGGGGAAAGGUUUACUGCCGGAAGAUCGGCCCGCGUCUGAUUAGCUAGUUGGUGGGGUAACGGCCUACCAAGGCGACGAUCAGUAGCUGGUCUGAGAGGAUGAUCAGCCACACUGGGACUGAGACACGGCCCAGACUCCUACGGGAGGCAGCAGUGGGGAAUAUUGGACAAUGGGCGCAAGCCUGAUCCAGCCAUGCCGCGUGAGUGAUGAAGGCCUUAGGGUUGUAAAGCUCUUUUAUCCGGGACGAUAAUGACGGUACCGGAGGAAUAAGCCCCGGCUAACUUCGUGCCAGCAGCCGCGGUAAU
RNAcentral lists this ribosomal RNA (439 nucleotides) under uncultured bacterium. RNAcentral's name for it is "bacterial SSU rRNA". It matches the Rfam family "Bacterial small subunit ribosomal RNA", at positions 43 to 524 of the family's 1533-position model. The record is from RNAcentral.